Molecule: long non-coding RNA, 606 nt
Organism: Daphnia pulicaria
Lineage: Eukaryota; Metazoa; Arthropoda; Branchiopoda; Diplostraca; Daphniidae
Exons: 3
Source: RefSeq, a predicted model, not a curated record
UCUAUUAUAGGUGGAAGGCUAAUGAGCAAACAGAUCUUAUAGAUGAUGGACGAAUCUGGACGAUGUUUACUCAAGAUGACUCGGAGUUGUUUCCCGUUUCUGCCGCUCCUGCUACAAAACCUAAAGAGGCAGGAUCUAGCAGCCAGGAUGCUCAAGCGCAAACGUGCACCGUAAAUUUAGUGCCUGAAUCAGGUAUUUGCUGAAGAAGAAACACCUACGGUACAGAAAGAGAUUGCGAGGAAGGAAAAUGCUACAUCGACUCCUAGGACAAAUGCGAAAAGAAAGCUAGAUGCAUGCAUGAAGCCAUUUUCUCCUGGGAUAAAGUACAAUGCUGGGCAGCAUUCGGUUGGGGCCUGCAUCCAAUCCAAGUCGGAUCCAUCCAACAUCAAAAGAGCAAAAGUAGGAUUGUAGUAAACACAAACUGCAUCGAAGAACGUCUUAGUUCUCAAUGUCGUUUACAGGUUGAAGAACUGCAAUCAUUGUUGCGCAAACUUUGUGAUCUGUCUAAUUCUUUAUAAUUCUGCUUAACAUACCAACAAAGGAUUUGUCUAACAAAACAGGAAGUGGCUGAUUGUAGGAGACUUAGUUUCAGAGAUCAUUUGGCAA